UUCAGCGGCGGACGGGUGAGUAAUGCCUAGGAAUCUGCCCGAUAGUGGGGGACAACGUUUCGAAAGGAACGCUAAUACCGCAUACGUCCUACGGGAGAAAGUGGGGGAUCUUCGGACCUCACGCUAUCGGAUGAGCCUAGGUCGGAUUAGCUAGUUGGUGAGGUAAUGGCUCACCAAGGCGACGAUCCGUAACUGGUCUGAGAGGAUGAUCAAUCACACUGGAACUGAGACACGGUCCAGACACCUACGGGAGGCAGCAGUGGGGAAUAUUGGACAAUGGGCGAAAGCCUGAUCCAGCCAUGCCGCGUGUGUGAAGAAGGUCUUCGGAUUGUAAAGCACUUUAAGUUGGGAGGAAGGGCUGUCGGCUAAUACCCUGCAGUUUUGACGUUACCAACAGAAUAAGCACCGGCUAACUUCGUGCCAGCAGCCGCGGUAAUACGAAGGGUGCAAGCGUUAAUCGGAAUUACUGGGCGUAAAGCGCGCGUAGGUGGUUCAGCAAGUUGGAUGUGAAAGCCCCGGGCUCAACCUGGGAACUGCAUCCAAAACUACUGAGCUAGAGUACGGUAGAGGGUGGUGGAAUUUCCUGUGUAGCGGUGAAAUGCGUAGAUAUAGGAAGGAACACCAGUGGCGAAGGCGACCACCUGGACUGAUACUGACACUGAGGUGCGAAAGCGUGGGGAGCAAACAGGAUUAGAUACCCUGGUAGUCCACGCCGUAAACGAUGUCAACUAGCUGUUGGGUUCCUUGAGAACUUAGUAGCGAAGCUAACGCGAUAAUUGACCGCCUGGGGAGUACGGCCGCAAGGUUAAAACUCAAAUGAAUUGACGGGGGCCCGCACAAGCCGGUGGGAGCAUGUUGGUUAAUUUCGAAGCAAACGCGAAGAAACCCUUACCU
RNAcentral lists this ribosomal RNA (894 nucleotides) under uncultured bacterium. RNAcentral's name for it is "bacterial SSU rRNA". It matches the Rfam family "Bacterial small subunit ribosomal RNA", at positions 91 to 976 of the family's 1533-position model. The record is from RNAcentral.